GCUUAGGACUGGGGUACCUCACUUGGUAGAGCUGGAGACUCUUAACCGCAGGGUUGUGGGUUCGAGCCCCACGUUGGGCA
Non-coding RNA from Podarcis lilfordi (Lilford's wall lizard), 80 nucleotides. NCBI's taxonomy places the organism in Eukaryota, Metazoa, Chordata, Lepidosauria, Squamata, Lacertidae. The record is from the annotation of a GenBank genome assembly.